Molecule: long non-coding RNA, 1695 nt
Filed under: Mus musculus (house mouse)
Lineage: Eukaryota; Metazoa; Chordata; Mammalia; Rodentia; Muridae
Description: long non-coding RNA chr7:68073439-68075134
Source: RNAcentral
AUUGUGUCCCUGAAUAAAGUACUUUUGGAAAAAUACCGAAGUCAUGCCUACAGAACGAACCACCACUUGAAAGCGGUGGAAUCCAUUGAAACCCACUGCCUGACUGAAUGCUGGGAACAGCGGUGUUGGGUUACAAGCUAAGGGGAAAUAACUUAGUAAAGCCAUGUGACUGUGUGACUCUCAGUCUAAUCCCUGGUGACACGUCCCCUUUGCUGCACGUGACACGUGAGCCUCAAGUCCACUGUUUUGUAGGCAGAUCAACUCACCCCAGGUAGAUUUCUAACUAAAACCAGUUCCACAUUAUCAAUGGACCUGUCCGUCUGGAAGUGGUUGGCUUGGAUACAUGGCAGGUUUUUUGAAUGGUUUUGCCACAUCUGUUUAUACAUACACCUGGAGGCAGGAAGUUUCUUUUGGAGGCAAGGGUAGGGUGGGGUGGUUGACUGGGGCUGGGGAGGCAGACAGAAAUAUGUUUAUGGUUCUCAAGACUGCUUUCUACCCCGGGGAAGGCAGGUUGAGAACAGAUUGCCUCUGGAGUCCCUGGGCAUAUUCCAGUGGUAUAUGGGAAUUCUGUUCUUUCCGAGCACUUACUGUAAAUUAAUAAAGAAUUUCCAUGAAUCUGGAUAUAUGGCACGCUGGAUUGAAGGGAGCGGACACAGGAUUGAGUGCUUGAGACUCACUCCACGUGGCUGGAUUUUAAUCUGAAAGGAUCUGAUUUUGUGGCACUUCCAAAGGUGGAAGAGAAACCCUCUUCACCAUCCCAGGAGAUGUAGGGUGUUAGAAGAAAAAAAGACGUGUCCUUCAAGCCACAAGCUGUGUGUCCACCCUGAGCCUGUCCCUAGCCUGAGGUGCUUUGGACUCAAUGGUUUGAGUGUCUUUGGGAAUGUAAUUCCUCUCAGAGUAUCUCUGAGGCACUUGGCAAAGACGGGGCUCCCUCUUGGGGGACCUUUCCCUGAUGGUGUGUGGGUAACGACUGCGCUUUCUGUGUUUCUUCAGACUGCUGGCUUUUCUGAAGCUCCUUAAGAGCACCUGUCACACCGAGCUCUGUCAGUCUUGAAGGACAGUGACUGAAGGACACUUGUCCCUGGUGUGUGAACAAGGGAUUGUGCUCAGGGCAAAGGCAGGAGCCACUCUGGUCAUUUUUCUGUGUGAGGUGUCUCCCCCUCCCCCUUUUAAGAUAGGGCCUCUCUGCAUAGCCAUAGAGGCCCCUCUUCUUCCUCCACUUCUGUUUCUUUGCUUAUUUUAUCAUUAUUAUUAUUAUUUUCCUUUUAAGUUUUAAAGGCAGAAUGUGGGCUCUGAGAGCAAGCCGACUUGCCCUGGCUGGCUUGCGCGCGCGCUCUCGCUCUCUCUCUCUCUCUCUCUCUCUCUCUCUCUGCUCAUUUGCCUUCCUGUAACAUGGAAAGACAAAUAGACCCUUAAACCUGACUCUCAAAGCCACUGCCAACUUUUUCCUUUGUGCGUAAGUAGUUAUAUUAUUUCUAGGUUACGCUCUUUAUCUUUGAAAGGGAAAAGAAACUACCAUGGACUGUUUGCAGGAACGCAUUGUUCCAGGCUUGCCUAGUUGUACCUGUGAUGCCAUUUUCCACUUGGAACCACAGGGACGAUAAGGUCGUUCUCAGACGGUGAGCCUUUUAAAAUACAAAACACAUAACUUUAAUAUGCAGUGGUCAUAUUCCUCUUGCAUAUGGCAUGUCUCUC